Non-coding RNA from Schizosaccharomyces pombe (fission yeast), 1434 nucleotides. The record is from the annotation of a GenBank genome assembly. NCBI's taxonomy places the organism in Eukaryota, Fungi, Ascomycota, Schizosaccharomycetes, Schizosaccharomycetales, Schizosaccharomycetaceae.
AAUCAGUCUCCUGAUUAUCGCCUUUCUGCUCCUUCUCCAACUCUGAGUCACCAAAAAGAUCUAAGGUUCCAUCAUCAUUUUCGCUAAUUGGAAAAUAAGAUGAUUCCUUUUCUUCACCAUUCAUAGAAGGCUCGGGUGAUCCAGGAGUAAAUGUGGAAAUGGUAGCAGCGUUGCCAGUUACAGGCGCAGUAGUAAUGAGAGAUGAAGUGACCGAAACGUCUAAAUUUGGUACUUGAACGGGGGUCAUAUCGAGAUCUUCAAGCUUAUUGAGGACAGUAAUAAUAUCUGUGAACGCCUCCUUCACCCUAAAAAAGUUAAUAUUAACAUCUUAAAAAUUGUUAGGAAAGUCCAAAAAAAGUGAAGCGGGAAAAAACAGAUGGCAUAUUUACAACGACAAAAAUUAACGACGGUGAAAAAUAACUACUGACAUAAGCCAUCAUUAGUUAUAUAAAUAAAAGGAACUACGAUAAAAAAAGGCGUAGGUAACAUUGUCAAACGGAACACGAGAUAUUAACAAAAGAGGAACAAUAGCACCACCUUUCCACAGUCUACAAUAUAAUGGUGGUAGACGCGUCGCAACACAGAAAAGAAACGUAUCUUUGGCAAAACAAAAAAAAAAUUUUAAAGUCAGUUCCUUUCAAUGAAGAGACUACCAAUUCCAAUUUUUUAACCUUUAGGAUAAAAAAGCGACAAUUCUAACAAACUUCGACAAACCAUAUCAAAAUCCUAAAUCACCAGCAAAAAAUCCAAAUUAAGAGUUGGACUGCCCUCACUGCCUCACCCACUUCACCUGUCAUAAACACAAACAAAACUACUUACAAAACAAAAUUGCCACGUUGACGUAUAAGCUACAGCAAUCAACACAGCAACACUGAAUAUCAAAUUGCUAAUAGUACACAAAAACAAGAAUGAACAAAAUUAAUGCCGGCUAACCUUCACAACACACGCGCGCAUAAACUGCCUAUUACACUAAAACAAGCAAUAUGCAAUAUUUACUUCGUUGUAUAGCGCCAAACAAUAACAGAUAGCACAAAUGACUUAAGAUUUAUAGCGACUUGGCUUCAAAGGGACAAAAAAGUAGUGCCCUAUAACAAAUUAACGAUUAAUAACGAUAUCGAACUCUUCCGCGCGACUAGCAAUUUCAAGAGUCGAACCGAGGAAAAAUGUGGUUUGCAGAGGGAAGGAGGAAACAUGUUGGUAUAAGUCACCGUUGUCCUCAGGGUUAGGGUUUUGAUGUGAAUCAACAUUGCGGCGGAUGAACGAUUAGAUGAUAAUUUCAAUGGAGGGCGACUGACCAAUUAUCUUUCUCCUACGUCACCACUGGCUAAAGCUAUCAGGCGCAACGCAAAUCGCGGGGUGUUAUUGUAAACAAACAAAACCAAAAAAUUCGGCCAAACUAUGUGUUCUGCAAGUAAACAACUUAAUAAUAAUACA